CCUUUUAGUAACGAAGCUAACGCGUGAAGUCGACCGCCUGGGGAGUACGGCCGCAAGGUUAAAACUCAAAGGAAUUGACGGGGACCCGCACAAGCGGUGGAUGAUGUGGAUUAAUUCGAUGCAACGCGAAAAACCUUACCUACCCUUGACAUGCCAGGAACUUGCCAGAGAUGGCUUGGUGCUCGAAAGAGAGCCUGGACACAGGUGCUGCAUGGCUGUCGUCAGCUCGUGUCGUGAGAUGUUGGGUUAAGUCCCGCAACGAGCGCAACCCUUGUCGUUAAUUGCCAUCAUUAAGUUGGGCACUUUAGCGAGACUGCCGGUGACAAACCGGAGGAAGGUGGGGAUGACGUCAAGUCCUCAUGGCCCUUAUGGGUAGGGCUUCACACGUCAUACAAUGGUCGGUACAGAGGGCUGCCAACCCGCGAGGGGGAGCCAAUCCCAGAAAACCGGUCGUAGUCCGGAUCGCAGUCUGCAACUCGACUGCGUGAAGUCGGAAUCGCUAGUAAUCGCGGAUCAGCUUGCCGCGGUGAAUACGUUCCCGGGUCUUGUACACACCGCCCGUCACACCAUGGGAGCGGGUUCUGCCAGAAGUAGUUAGCCUAACCGCAAGGAGGGCGAUUACCACGGCGGGGUUCGUGACUGGGGUG
RNAcentral lists this ribosomal RNA (647 nucleotides) under uncultured Dechloromonas sp. RNAcentral's name for it is "bacterial SSU rRNA". It matches the Rfam family "Bacterial small subunit ribosomal RNA", at positions 836 to 1482 of the family's 1533-position model. Lineage: Bacteria; Pseudomonadati; Pseudomonadota; Betaproteobacteria; Rhodocyclales; Azonexaceae. The record is from RNAcentral.